UUUUGAUUGUCAUCUAGAAACCAACACUAUCAUUCUCAGAAGAAAAUUGUCUAGGUUAACGUCAAUAAUAUUCAGACUCUUUCAACUCUUAAUGUUGGAUGAGAAAUCAGAACCACUUUCAAAACACAAAAAAUGUAAAAAUCACAAACAAAUAUUUAGACCUCCUCCCUUUUGAUACAUGGAUUUAACCCAUGAGUCAAUUGCUUAAAAGAAAAGAGAUGUUAGCAUGUGUACCUUGAUUAACCCAGGUUCACCCUUCAUCAAAACCUGAUUUCACAAAGAUGAUAUGGAUUGAAAAUGACAAGAACAGAAAUGAUUGUAUGUGGUCCUUCAAACAUCUGUUUAAAGCAUCUUAUUAGAAAAACUCAUUUUACUGCAGAUAAUCUAAGAUUAAAAACAAACACAAGCAUAUAAAACAAUCAAAAAUCCCCAAACAAGCAAAAACAAAACUAUAUAGUGUAUGUACACUGAAUUCAGUAACACCUUCUCUAACUCUUAAAAUAAAAAUCAAGUCUGUGUUGCAGUCAGAAGUCCAAGUCAAAAAGUCAUGUAUAGUCACAAAAAAUAAUCCCAUGUAAAUUGUUAUAUGGGAGAGAUCACAAAUCCAUGGACACUAAUACACUUCUAAAAACUUCAAUUAAGAUAUCGCUUAGUGAUUCUAUUAAAUGUUUUGUUUGUAAAUUUUGCAUCUCCAAUAAUCCAAUAUUUCUAGGAAAAUUACGAAUAGAAUCAACUUUUUUAGUAAACCUUCCGGAGGAAAUAAUCUGGCCACAUAACACAAAUGAACCCUGUAAAGUUAUAGCAAAUUCCAAUAACGUGAGUCAAAGAUAACAUGAAUACGCUAGAUUCACAUUCAGUUAGUAAUCACUGAUAAACCACCAGGACUGUCUGGGUGAAAACAGCUCCAUAUGGUUCUAAAGUUAAUUAACCCUUUGGUGUGAGGACAGACAAGGUGGGGGUGAGGUGUCAAACAAUGGAACCUUGGCUUAGAGACUCAAGUAAAAUCUAUUCGGAUGUUAUCAGUUUCAGUAAACAUCCACAUCAACCAGUAUCUGGUCAUAAUUACUAUCCCGUUUUAUCAUUAUCAUUAUUACAUUAUCAUCACUCAGGGAUGAAAAUGACUAUAGAAAAAAUUGGUUAUUCAUCUAUUUUUCUAUCAAUCUGACAUAUGUGCUUUCCCUAUAAAAUCUUUUUAAAAAUUUAAUUCAAUCCUACUGAUUUCUUUUCAAAAACUUGUGGAGCAUAAAUAGUCUGGAUAUAAAAACUACUCAUUCUAAAUUUACUGUUGAAAUUUAGUAUUGAUUUGGGAAACAUCUUAAUAAUUUAUCCCUUUUCUAUAUGUUUCUAUGUUCAUUGCUGUGUCUUCUCUAUGCUCUGACCUGUUCUCCUCUGCUGUCUCUGUGGUUUAGCUGAUUUUGAUGAAAUCCUUGGGUCUGGAUCGAACUGGAUCUGGUUCUUCUUGAUUAGAAUAGUCACAUUAUGAUUCUGAUCGCUCUGUCAGUGCUGUUCUCUUCUCCUUCAUUCAUUUUCUUGGACCUUUCUCACACCGGCUGGUGUAAACUUCCAUCACCUUCAGUCCCUUGAAGAGACAGCAGCUGUUCUUCCAUCUCUCAGUCACCAACACCUUCCCGUCUUCACUCCUGAGCAUUUGUUGCAUCUUCCCUUUUGUUCAGAUUCUGGUGCCUGUAAUCAACAAACACCUACUGGAAGAAAAUCCUUUUUUCCUGGAAGGAGCAGUUAGUGAGAGUCUUGGUUUGUGUCCUGCACAGAGGUCAGAGAGAGGUCAGAGAGUGUCCUUUCUCCCCCACUGUGGGUAUUCUGCUUCUGGUCAACAUCAGCUUUUGUUGGUCCCAGAUUCCUGUAGAGAUGACGUCUCCUUGAUGGAUCAAAGCUCCUCACACAGAGACAGCAGGGUACAGAUCCCUGAUUCCUCCCCUACUUGCUAAUUUAUCCCCAUUGUUCACUUUCACAAGACUUUCUUUCUCAAAACAAAUCUUACAGAUUUCCAUCUACUCUUAACCUUCCCUACCUUCUUCUUCCUACCUGCCAACUUCCUCUUCUCCUGGUUCAACCUUUUGCUAAUGAGUGACACGGACUACAUAAUAAAAUGUUAUUUGUUUCUAUAGUUUACCUGGUGCCAAAGUUGAACAUCCUCACCCAGUUUUCCAUUGUUUGCAGCCUGUUAAUCAGAGCCUGUAAGAAUUAAAUAGUAAUUUCUCUGGUUUUGUUCCUAGACUCACUUGGGCAGAUGCUUAGACUUUAAUUGGAUUUUUUCAAACACACAAGUCUCCACUCAUUCUGAUCUUCCCAUACCACAGCAUGGUUAGACAUUAGCAUUCACACAAUUACCUUAUGAUGACUCUGGUUCAGCCAGGUAGUUUGAACGACACAUUCGUUCAGAGCAGCGUGCCCUGUGGUGUGUCUAUCAUGCUGCACACACACACUGAAGGAGUCAUCACAAGCUUAUAGCAUUAUAUAUAUAUUAUUAGAUCAAUCAUAUUCCCUUUACUCCAGUGGGACAUCCAUAGAUCUACUAUCUCCAUAAUUAAGUAUAAUUAAUAGUUAUCUUAUAUAACAGUUAUAAUUAAUCUAGACUUAAAAACCAACAACAAAAAACAAACAAGCCACAUCUGACACAAAGUGACAUAUAACACACAAGCUGAGCUUAAAGUGGUUCACAAUCUUGCUUAAUUUUUACUCGUACGGGGGUUUCCCUUAUAAGCCCUCAUGGCUUCACAAAUUCUUCGUAAUCCUACCAGUGAUCAAUCAGUUACCUUUCCCUGUUUAUUUGUAUUUUUUUUUUUUUUUAUCCACACUGGUGUCUGCUACUCACAAAGUCCUUCACAGACUAAUGGGCUCUCACUCACCAUCAAGGUAUUACAGAAUUUAAACACGAACGUGACUUAACCAAUACCAAGCGCUACAACACCCAAAGUGUUUCCGUAAACAGAGAUGAUUCAUAACACUGUACUCACAAACUGAAUGGAGCGUCCGCUGUCCGCCACCCGGACCCAGCAUCAGGCGGGAUUUCAGCCCUCCAUUUGUUGGAGCGGAAAUUUCCCUGAAUCUCCUUUGAGAUUCCCACCGGUGGUUUACCUUCAGUCUGGGCCAGGCGUCGAUCAACGGAACAUCCAUCCCACUUCUGACACCAAAUUGUUGUGGAAAUCUUCUUAUAAAGAAAUCAACCGGAGAUCAUCAGUGUGAUAAACCAUCUCAAAGUUUACUCUCAUGUCGACACGGAGUGGAUCACAAUUACAUUUAAGACGUAAGGCACAUCUCACUAUGUACAAAGUAUCCACUGAAGGACUGAGGACACAAGACCUGUAUUUAUACCCUGUUACAAACCCCCACAUGAGCUGUUGACUGGUCUUUGAUAUACAUGAGUGCAGUAAACCCCCCUUUACUUCCUUAACAAUGUUCCUGUGGUCACUACAGUGAAACCCCCACAAUUUGACAACCAAAUGCUUGAUGACCCCCCAGGAACAACCCUCAGCCAGAGGCACAGCAUCUCAUGACAAACACAACAUUUCCCACAGUCAACAGAGGGAUCUGCUAUGUCAUAUGCCAAUGAAUCCAAGAACCAAAGGGUCAGUGGAAAGUGCUAGAUUCCCCAAGAGGAGCACCUAAGUUAAAAUUGCCAACAAACUGCUAUAGCAUACACAUCCCUGGACCGAGGUAAUGUUAACUCCUGAAUUGAAUGUUUUUUCCUUGAGAAAAUCUCCUACACACCCAUCCCAAGAUAAAAAGUACAGAGUCCCUUUAUCCAAAAAAGAGGAAUUAUUACCAACUUCUUAAGUUGUUAAGUUUUCGUCUCUUAUUAUUAUGAUGCGUCAAACUUUUUUUAACUUGUUUCAAUUUUGUAAUUUGUACAAUUUUGUUUAAUCAGAAAGUCAUUUCAAGUAACUCCAACUGAGCUAAGAUUUAUCUUAAGCAAUCAUAAUUUUUACUCACUAUUUUGAGUAAAUUAGACUAAUUUGAUACCUUCGGCUCCAGACAGCUUUUCCUUUUUUGGCUGAGCUGUACUGCCGUUUACUGGGACUGGGUUGAUAUACAAAGUAAGCUGACAUGAGCAGAAAAAUGUGUAUAAAAGGUUUAUUUAUUUAAACCCCAGGUUUCAGAGCAUAGACUAUUUUGGAAAGAGAUUCCCAAUAAAACAUCUACACAUCUUCGACUCUAUCAUAAAACUUACUGAGACAAAGGGGUUGUGGCUAUAUUCGAAGUAGACAUAGGGUAAAAGUACACAUUUUUAGAUUCAGUUUGUGAUUCACUGUGAUGCUAAUGAUAUUCAGCUGUCCCUCAGGACAUAGUCAAUCCCUUCAUCUACCCCACCAUCGUCUACUCUCACCAUCUGCCUGGAGGAGAUAAAGACGUGGAAGAAAGCAAAAUGUCCUGCAGCUGAACAGCUCUAGGACUGAAACUAUUUUACAAACCCCACACCAGGUUAGAACAUCUAACAUCACCUGUAUUACCCUCUCUAGUCAGGACAUUGUCAACAUCUGUUACCAACCACAAGGUUAAAAUGGACUGAACUUAUGAGGCUUACAUCAAAAGUUAGUCCACUCGUUUCAAUCCAAGCCGGAUUUCUGCAACGCACUUCUAACUACUGGACUACCGGGAAAACCCAUUCAAAACAGUGCUGCUAGGAUCCUCAUAAGGGUGCGUAAAUACAAUCCAAUACAACCAUUCUUAAAUCCCCCCAUUGGCUCCUGGUCUCUUUUAGAAUUGAUUACAAGGUUGCAUUGACCGUUCAGUUAAAGGUGUGAGCCAAGCCCCGCCUGAAGCUGCUCCGGUGACUCACACUAUCAGACCAUACAUCUACACACACACUCCUGAGAAAACACAAAUGAGCAGCCUUGAGUUUCCGACGCUGGAUGAAGUAUAGACUCUUCACAGUACGGGUGCGACAGUGACUCAGACGACAUUGGAAGGGAAACCUGGCGGUGAUCAGCUGAUCACAACCUAAAGGACCCUAACGAACAAUCAAUGCGUCAACACACAGGUUGGAAACAAUCUAACGCUACUGUUCAACAGGAAGAAGCAGAUUGUUACAGACAAAUCGAUUGUAACCUUGUUUUGUUAAACUUCAUUUUAUGUUACUCUGAUUAUUGCCUUAAUCAUAUGAUGUUUCUAUGUAAUUUUACACACUAUUUUUGAUAAAGAAAAUUUCACAAUA
This is an RNA transcript of Betta splendens (Siamese fighting fish), 5173 nucleotides long. It is a transcript of the gene named gastrula zinc finger protein XlCGF57.1-like, with no coding region annotated. The record is from RefSeq and is a predicted model, not a curated record. The transcript is spliced from 2 exons. NCBI's taxonomy places the organism in Eukaryota, Metazoa, Chordata, Actinopteri, Anabantiformes, Osphronemidae.